UACGUAGGGUGCAAGCGUUGUUCGGAAUCAUUGGGCGUAAAGCGCGUGUAGGUGGUCUGCUAAGUCGAUUGUGAAAUCCCUGGGCUCAACCGAGGAAGUGCAGUCGAAACUGGUAGGCUAGAGGACAGCAGGGGAAGGUGGAAUUCCAAGUGUAGAGGUGAAAUUCGUAGAUAUUUGGAGGAAUACCGGCGGCGAAGGCGGCCUUCUGGACUGUUCCUGACACUGAGACGCGAAAGCGUGGGUAGCAAACAGG
This 253-nucleotide ribosomal RNA is filed under the name uncultured bacterium. RNAcentral's name for it is "partial 16S ribosomal RNA". It matches the Rfam family "Bacterial small subunit ribosomal RNA", at positions 524 to 776 of the family's 1533-position model. The record is from RNAcentral.